Molecule: transfer RNA, 92 nt
Filed under: Haemaphysalis longicornis (longhorned tick)
Lineage: Eukaryota; Metazoa; Arthropoda; Arachnida; Ixodida; Ixodidae
Rfam family: tRNA
About the family: Transfer RNA (tRNA) molecules are approximately 80 nucleotides in length. Their secondary structure includes four short double-helical elements and three loops (D, anti-codon, and T loops). Further hydrogen bonds mediate the characteristic L-shaped molecular structure. tRNAs have two regions of fundamental functional importance: the anti-codon, which is responsible for specific mRNA codon recognition, and the 3' end, to which the tRNAs corresponding amino acid is attached (by aminoacyl-tRNA synthetases). tRNAs cope with the degeneracy of the genetic code in two manners: having more than one tRNA (with a specific anti-codon) for a particular amino acid; and 'wobble' base-pairing, i.e. permitting non-standard base-pairing at the 3rd anti-codon position.
Source: Rfam by way of RNAcentral
CCGUCGAUAGCUCAGUUGGUAGAGCGGUGGACUGUAGAGGCUUACGCAACACGGACAUCCAUAGGUCGCUGGUUCGAAUCCGGCUCGACGGA